CAAUAGCGUAUAUUAAAGUUGUUGACGGUUAAAAAGCUCGUAGUUGGAUUUCUGUCUAGGGGUGGCCGGGUACCCACCUAUGUGAAGUAUCUGGUUCAGUCUGGGCAUCCUCUUGGGGAUCGUUCCUGUGCUUGAUUGCAUGGGGCGGAAUUCAAGACUUUUACUUUGAGGAAAUUAGAGUGUUCACGGCAAGCUUUCGCUUUGAAUACAUUAGCAUGGAAUAAUGAUAUAGGGCAUAAGUUCUAUUUUGUUGGUUUCUAGAACAUAUGCAAUGAUUAAUAGGGAUAAUUGGGGGCACUCGUAUUAACGCGUCAGAGGUGGAAUUCUUAGAUUGCGUUACGACGAACUACUGCGAAAGCAUUUGUCCAAGGAUGUUUUCAUUGAUCAAGAACGAAAGUAUGGGGAUCGAAGACGAUC
RNAcentral lists this ribosomal RNA (417 nucleotides) under uncultured eukaryote. RNAcentral's name for it is "SSU rRNA". It matches the Rfam family "Eukaryotic small subunit ribosomal RNA", at positions 592 to 1009 of the family's 1831-position model. The record is from RNAcentral.